GAUGAACGCUGGCGGCGUGCUUAACACAUGCAAGUCGAACGGGAUCCAAGGGGUGCUUGCACUUUUUGGUGAGAGUGGCGAACGGGUGAGUAACACGUGAGUAACCUGUCCUUUUCUUUGGGAUAAGCAUUCGAAAGGGUGUUUAAUACCUUAUGUUCUGUCUGCCUCGCAUGGGGUGGGUGGGAAAGGCUUUGGCCGGAUUUGGGUGGGCUCGCGGUCUAUCAGCUUGUUGGUGGGGUGAUGGCUUACCAAGGCUUUGACGGGUAGCCGGCCUGAGAGGGUGGUCGGUCACAUUGGGACUGAGAUACGGCCCAGACUCCUGCGGGAGGCAGCAGUGGGGGAUAUUGCACAAUGGGCGAAAGCCUGAUGCAGCGACGCCGCGUGGGGGAUGAAGGCCUGCGGGUUGUAAACUUCUUUUGCUCUGAACAAGGCAUGCCAGUGGGUGUGUUGAGUGUAGGGGUUGAUGAGCGCCGGCUAACUACGUG
Molecule: ribosomal RNA, 485 nt
Filed under: uncultured bacterium
Lineage: Bacteria
Description: partial 16S ribosomal RNA
Rfam family: Bacterial small subunit ribosomal RNA
Source: RNAcentral